GGGGGCAUGGUGUAGUGGUAUCACGUUCGCUUUGCAUGCGAAAGGCCAGGGGUUCGAACCCCCUUACCUCCA
Molecule: non-coding RNA, 72 nt
Organism: Endogone sp. FLAS-F59071
Lineage: Eukaryota; Fungi; Mucoromycota; Endogonomycetes; Endogonales; Endogonaceae
Source: the annotation of a GenBank genome assembly